UUAUCUGGUUGAUCCUGCCAGUAGUCAUACGCUCGUCUCAGAGAUUAAGCCAUGCAUGUGUAACUAUAAACCCCGCCUUUGAUACUGCGACUGGAUCAUUAUAUCAUUUAUAGUAUAUUCUCUGAAGAAUCCUAA
RNAcentral lists this ribosomal RNA (135 nucleotides) under Blastocystis sp. Its description in RNAcentral is "partial small subunit ribosomal RNA". It matches the Rfam family "Eukaryotic small subunit ribosomal RNA", at positions 1 to 138 of the family's 1831-position model. The record is from RNAcentral. Lineage: Eukaryota; Bigyra; Opalinata; Blastocystidae.